RNAcentral lists this small RNA (554 nucleotides) under Alternaria compacta. RNAcentral describes it as "eukaryotic LSU rRNA". The stretch from base 172 to 325 matches the Rfam family "5.8S ribosomal RNA". Lineage: Eukaryota; Fungi; Ascomycota; Dothideomycetes; Pleosporales; Pleosporaceae. The record is from RNAcentral.
ACAUUACACAAAUAUGAAGGCGGGCUGGAACCUCUCGGGGUUACAGCCUUGCUGAAUUAUUCACCCUUGUCUUUUGCGUACUUCUUGUUUCCUUGGUGGGUUCGCCCACCACUAGGACAAACAUAAACCUUUUGUAAUUGCAAUCAGCGUCAGUAACAAAUUAAUAAUUACAACUUUCAACAACGGAUCUCUUGGUUCUGGCAUCGAUGAAGAACGCAGCGAAAUGCGAUAAGUAGUGUGAAUUGCAGAAUUCAGUGAAUCAUCGAAUCUUUGAACGCACAUUGCGCCCUUUGGUAUUCCAAAGGGCAUGCCUGUUCGAGCGUCAUUUGUACCCUCAAGCUUUGCUUGGUGUUGGGCGUCUUGUCUCUAGCUUUGCUGGAGACUCGCCUUAAAGUAAUUGGCAGCCGGCCUACUGGUUUCGGAGCGCAGCACAAGUCGCACUCUCUAUCAGCAAAGGUCUAGCAUCCAUUAAGCCUUUUUUUCAACUUUUGACCUCGGAUCAGGUAGGGAUACCCGCUGAACUUAAGCAUAUCAAUAAGCGGAGGAAAAAAACC